CAAAAAAUAGUUUAAAAUUUAAAAUUAUAAUUUUGGAGAUUAUGGAUAAAGUUAGUUUUUUUUUGA
RNAcentral lists this transfer RNA (66 nucleotides) under Melanotrichia acclivopennis. Its description in RNAcentral is "tRNA-Pro". Lineage: Eukaryota; Metazoa; Arthropoda; Insecta; Trichoptera; Xiphocentronidae. The record is from RNAcentral.